Molecule: ribosomal RNA, 314 nt
Filed under: uncultured Marinobacter sp.
Lineage: Bacteria; Pseudomonadati; Pseudomonadota; Gammaproteobacteria; Pseudomonadales; Marinobacteraceae
Description: bacterial SSU rRNA
Rfam family: Bacterial small subunit ribosomal RNA
Source: RNAcentral
CGCGUAGGUGGUUUGAUAAGCGAGAUGUGAAAGCCCCGGGCUUAACCUGGGAACGGCAUUUCGAACUGUCAGGCUAGAGUGUGGUAGAGGGUAGUGGAAUUUCCUGUGUAGCGGUGAAAUGCGUAGAUAUAGGAAGGAACACCAGUGGCGAAGGCGGCUACCUGGACCAACACUGACACUGAGGCGCGAAAGCGUGGGGAGCAAACAGGAUUAGAUACCCUGGUAGUCCACGCCGUAAACGAUGUCAACUAGCCGUUGGGACUCUUGAAGUCUUAGUGGCGCAGCUAACGCACUAAGUUGACCGCCUGGGGAGU